Long non-coding RNA from Bubalus bubalis (water buffalo), 345 nucleotides. RefSeq lists it as uncharacterized. The transcript is spliced from 2 exons. The record is from RefSeq and is a predicted model, not a curated record. Lineage: Eukaryota; Metazoa; Chordata; Mammalia; Artiodactyla; Bovidae.
GUCCUUGCCAAAGUGUGUGUGAAAAAGAAACACUCACGUGAACCCUGAAAGCUGGUAAGGCGGAAGCCAGAGGCUCGAGGUGGACGGACGCAGCAGCUCCUGAGGCAGGGAGGCCGUGAACUCCCAGCUCCACAGGGAAUUAUCACUAUGUCAGGAAAAGUAGAUCGUGAGCGCAGGCACAGGAUGUCUCUGGGAAGACCAAUGAAAGGCACAAUGGCUGCUUCCUGGAGAGGAGCUGAACCCUCAGGGAUAGAAGUGGAAGGAGUCUGACUUCCCACUGUACACCUUUUAACAUUUUUGAAAUGGUAUGACUGUGUUAUCCAAUUAAAGUGUUUUUAAAUCUGA